This 386-nucleotide ribosomal RNA is filed under the name uncultured bacterium. RNAcentral describes it as "bacterial SSU rRNA". It matches the Rfam family "Bacterial small subunit ribosomal RNA", at positions 28 to 417 of the family's 1533-position model. The record is from RNAcentral.
GACGAACGCUGGCGGCGUGCUUAACACAUGCAAGUCGAGCGGUAAGGCCCUUUCGGGGGUACACGAGCGGCGAACGGGUGAGUAACACGUGGGUGACCUGCCUUUAGCUCUGGGAUAAGCCUGGGAAACCGGGUCUAAUACCGGAUAUGACUCCGCGGCGCAUGUUGUGGGGUGGAAAGCCUUGUGCGGCUGGAGAUGGGCCCGCGGCCUAUCAGCUUGUUGGUGGGGUGAUGGCCUACCAAGGCGACGACGGGUAGCCGGCCUGAGAGGGCGACCGGCCACACUGGGACUGAGACACGGCCCAGACUCCUACGGGAGGCAGCAGUGGGAAUCUUGCGCAAUGGCGAAAGCCUGACGCAGCGACGCCGCGUGAGGGAUGACGGCCU